CGCUGGCGGCGUGCCUAAUACAUGCAAGUCGAGCGAACAGAAGGGAGCUUGCUCCCGGAUGUUAGCGGCGGACGGGUGAGUAACACGUGGGUAACCUGCCUGUAAGACUGGGAUAACUCCGGGAAACCGGAGCUAAUACCGGAUAGUUCCUUGAACCGCAUGGUUCAAGGAUGAAAGACGGUUUCGGCUGUCACUUACAGAUGGACCCGCGGCGCAUUAGCUAGUUGGUGGGGUAAUGGCUCACCAAGGCGACGAUGCGUAGCCGACCUGAGAGGGUGAUCGGCCACACUGGGACUGAGACACGGCCCAGACUCCUACGGGAGGCAGCAGUAGGGAAUCUUCCGCAAUGGACGAAAGUCUGACGGAGCAACGCCGCGUGAGUGAUGAAGGUUUUCGGAUCGUAAAGCUCUGUUGUUAGGGAAGAACAAGUGCGAGAGUAACUGCUCGCACCUUGACGGUACCUAACCAGAAAGCCACGGCUAACUACGUGCCAGCAGCCGCGGUAAUACGUAGGUGGCAAGCGUUGUCCGGAAUUAUUGGGCGUAAAGGGCUCGCAGGCGGUUUCUUAAGUCUG
This 574-nucleotide ribosomal RNA is filed under the name Bacillus sp. E75. RNAcentral describes it as "bacterial SSU rRNA". It matches the Rfam family "Bacterial small subunit ribosomal RNA", at positions 34 to 591 of the family's 1533-position model. The record is from RNAcentral. Lineage: Bacteria; Bacillati; Bacillota; Bacilli; Caryophanales; Bacillaceae.